GGAGUUAGCCGGUGCUUCUUCUGUGAGUGAUGUCCUUCCUGCCGGCUAUUAACCCGCAGGCCUUCUUCCUCACUGAAAGUGCUUUACAACCCGAAGGCCUUCUUCACACACGCGGCAUGGCUGGAUCAGGGUUGCCCCCCAUUGUCCAAUAUUCCCCCACUGCUGCCUCCCGUAGGAGUCUGGGCCGUGUCUCAGUCCCAGUGUGGCUGAUCAUCCUCUCAGACCAGCUACGGAUCGUCGCCUUGGUGAGCCGUUACCUCACCAACCAGCUAAUCCGACAUAGGCUCAUCCGAUAGCGCGAGGCCCGAAGGUCCCCCGNUUUCCCCCGUAGGGCGUAUGCGGUAUUAGCCUGGGUUUCCCCAGGUUAUCCCCCACUACCCGGGCAGAUUCCCUAUGCAUUACUCACCCGUCCGCCGCUCGCCACCAGGGAGCAAGCUCCCCGUGCUGCCGCUCGACUUGCAUGUGUUAGGCCUGCCGCCAGCGUUCAAUCUGAACCAAGAUCAAAUUCUGA
RNAcentral lists this ribosomal RNA (511 nucleotides) under uncultured bacterium. Its description in RNAcentral is "partial 16S ribosomal RNA". The record is from RNAcentral.